GGGGUUGUGGCUCAGUGGUAGAGUGCUCGCUUAGCAUGUGUGAGGCACUGUGUUCAAUUCUCAGCACCA
Molecule: transfer RNA, 69 nt
Filed under: Ictidomys tridecemlineatus (thirteen-lined ground squirrel)
Lineage: Eukaryota; Metazoa; Chordata; Mammalia; Rodentia; Sciuridae
Description: Spermophilus tridecemlineatus (thirteen-lined ground squirrel) tRNA
Rfam family: tRNA
About the family: Transfer RNA (tRNA) molecules are approximately 80 nucleotides in length. Their secondary structure includes four short double-helical elements and three loops (D, anti-codon, and T loops).
Source: Rfam by way of RNAcentral